Molecule: ribosomal RNA, 468 nt
Filed under: uncultured bacterium
Lineage: Bacteria
Description: partial 16S ribosomal RNA
Rfam family: Bacterial small subunit ribosomal RNA
Source: RNAcentral
GACGAACGCUGGCGGCGUGCUUAACACAUGCAAGUCGAACGGAAAGGCCCUGCUUUUGUGGGGUGCUCGAGUGGCGAACGGGUGAGUAACACGUGAGUAACCUGCCCUUGUCUUUGGGAUAACUUCAGGAAACUGGGGCUAAUACCGGAUAGGAGCUCCUGCUGCAUGGUGGGGGUUGGAAAGUUUCGGCGGUUGGGGAUGGACUCGCGGGUUAUCAGCUUGUUGGUGGGGUAGUGGCUUACCAAGGCUUUGACGGGUAGCCGGCCUGAGAGGGUGACCGGCCACAUUGGGACUGAGAUACGGCCCAGACGCCUACGGGAGGCAGCAGUGGGGAAUAUUGCACAAUGGGCGGAAGCCUGAUGCAGCAACGCCGCGUGCGGGAUGACGGCCUUCGGGUUGUAAACCGCUUUCGCCUGUGACGAAGCGUGAGUGACGGUAAUGGGUAAAGAAGCACCGGCUAACUACGUG